Molecule: ribosomal RNA, 253 nt
Filed under: uncultured bacterium
Lineage: Bacteria
Description: partial 16S ribosomal RNA
Rfam family: Bacterial small subunit ribosomal RNA
Source: RNAcentral
GACAGAGGGUGCAAACGUUGUUCGGAAUUACUGGGCGUAAAGCGCGUGUAGGCGGUCUUGUAAGUCGGGUGUGAAAGCCCAGGGCUCAACCCUGGAAUUGCCUUCGAUACUGGAUAUCUUGAGUUCGGGAGAGGUGAGUGGAAUGCCGAGUGUAGAGGUGAAAUUCGUAGAUAUUCGGCGGAACACCAGUGGCGAAGGCGACUCACUGGCCCGAUACUGACGCUGAGGCGCGAAAGCGUGGGGAGCAAACAGG